AAACAUGUUGCAGGUCCAAACUGCACCGCUUGGGUUACCAGAAAUACACCCUGAAGUUGAGAAAAGUCCUCCAGAUUGUACAUGUUCUCUGUCCAAAUUCUUGCAG
Molecule: long non-coding RNA, 106 nt
Organism: Notothenia coriiceps (black rockcod)
Lineage: Eukaryota; Metazoa; Chordata; Actinopteri; Perciformes; Nototheniidae
Exons: 3
Source: RefSeq, a predicted model, not a curated record